AACGAACGCUGGCGGCAUGCCUAACACAUGCAAGUCGAACGAGAUCUUCGGGUCUCGUGGCGCUCGGGUGCGUAACGCGUGAGAACCUGCCCUUAGGUUCGGAAUCACUCCCCGAAAGGGGUGCUAAUAUCGGAUAAUGUUUUCGGUCCAAAGAGUUAUCGCCUUUGGAUGGGGCCGCGUUGGAUUAGAUGGUUGGUAGGGUAAAAGCCUACCAAGGCGACGAUCCAUAGCUGGUAUGAGAGGAUGAUCAGCCACACUGGGACUGAGACACGGCCCAGACUCCUACGGGAGGCAGCAGUGGGGAAGAUUGGACACUGGGCGAGUGCCUGAGCCAGCAAUGCCGCGUGAGUGAUGAAGGCCGUAGGGUUGUAAAGCUCUUGUACCCGGGAUGAUAAUGACAGUACCGGGAGAAUAAGCCCCGGCUAACUCCGUG
This 433-nucleotide ribosomal RNA is filed under the name uncultured bacterium. Its description in RNAcentral is "partial 16S ribosomal RNA". It matches the Rfam family "Bacterial small subunit ribosomal RNA", at positions 29 to 507 of the family's 1533-position model. The record is from RNAcentral.